GCCCGCUUGGCCCAGUGGUAAGGCGUGUCACUCGUAGGAUGACUGGAUUAUGUAAUAACUCCUGAGCCACGACAUGACAAGAUCAGUUGUUCGAAUCAGCUAGUGGGCA
This is a non-coding RNA of Mycena galopus ATCC 62051, 109 nucleotides long. NCBI's taxonomy places the organism in Eukaryota, Fungi, Basidiomycota, Agaricomycetes, Agaricales, Mycenaceae. The record is from the annotation of a GenBank genome assembly.